CUGGCAUCACUAUACUACUAACAGACCGUAACCUCAACACCACCUUCUUCGACCCAGCCGGAGGAGGAGACCCCAUUCUAUACCAACACCUAUUCUGAUUUUUCGGUCACCCUGAAGUUUAUAUUCUCAUCCUACCAGGCUUCGGAAUAAUCUCCCAUAUUGUAACUUACUACUCCGGGAAAAAAAGAACCAUUUGGAUACAUAGGUAUGGUCUGAGCUAUGAUAUCAAUUGGCUUCCUAGGGUUUAUCGUGUGAGCACACCAUAUAUUUACAGUAGGAAUAGACGUAGACACACGAGCAUAUUUCACCUCCGCUACCAUAAUCAUCGCUAUCCCCACCGGCGUCAAAGUAUUUAGCUGACUCGCCACACUCCACGGAAGCAAUAUGAAAUGAUCUGCUGCAGUGCUCUGAGCCCUAGGAUUUAUUUUUCUUUUCACCGUAGGUGGCCUGACUGGCAUUGUAUUAGCAAACUCAUCACUAGACAUCGUACUACACGACACGUACUACGUUGUAGCCCACUUCCACUAUGUCCUAUCAAUAGGAGCUGUAUUUGCCAUCAUAGGAGGCUUCAUUCACUGAUUUCCCCUAUUCUCAGGCUACACCCUAGACCAAACCUACGCCAAAAUCCAUUUCGCUAUCAUAUUCAUCGGCGUAAAUCUAACUUUCUUCCCACAACACUUUCUCGGCCUAUCCGGAAUGCCCCGACGUUACUCGGACUAUCCCGAUGCAUACACCACAUGAAAUAUCCUAUCAUCUGUAGGCUCAUUCAUUUCUCUAACAGCAGUAAUAUUAAUAAUUUUCAUAAUUUGAGAAGCCUUCGCUUCGAAGCGAAAAGUCCUAAUAGUAGAAGAACCCUCCAUAAACCUGGAGUGACUAUAUGGAUGCCCCCCACCCUACCACACAUUCGAAGAACCCGUAUACAUAAAAUCUAGACAAAAAAGGAAGGAAUCGAACCCCCCAAAGCUGGUUUCAAGCCAACCCCAUGGCCUCCAUGACUUUUUCAAAAAGAUAUUAGAAAAACCAUUUCAUAACUUUGUCAAAGUUAAAUUAUAGGCUAAAUCCUAUAUAUCUUAAUGGCACAUGCAGCGCAAGUAGGUCUACAAGACGCUACUUCCCCUAUCAUAGAAGAGCUUAUCAUCUUUCAUGAUCACGCCCUCAUAAUCAUUUUCCUUAUCUGCUUCCUAGUCCUGUACGCCCUUUUCCUAACACUCACAACAAAACUAACUAAUACUAACAUCUCAGACGCUCAGGAAAUAGAAACCGUCUGAACUAUCCUGCCCGCCAUCAUCCUAGUCCUUAUCG
This 1302-nucleotide long non-coding RNA is filed under the name Homo sapiens (human). RNAcentral describes it as "non-protein coding lnc-SAMD11-13:2". Lineage: Eukaryota; Metazoa; Chordata; Mammalia; Primates; Hominidae. The record is from RNAcentral.